This is a small nuclear RNA of Phyllostomus discolor (pale spear-nosed bat), 107 nucleotides long. NCBI's taxonomy places the organism in Eukaryota, Metazoa, Chordata, Mammalia, Chiroptera, Phyllostomidae. The record is from RefSeq and is a predicted model, not a curated record.
GUACUUGCUUUGGCAGCACAUGUACUAAAAUUGGAAUAAUACAGAGACAAUUAGCGUGGUCCCUGUGCAAGGAUAAUAUGCAAGUUCAGGAAGCAUUCCAUAUUUUA